Molecule: unclassified non-coding RNA, 1736 nt
Filed under: Hevea brasiliensis (rubber tree)
Lineage: Eukaryota; Viridiplantae; Streptophyta; Magnoliopsida; Malpighiales; Euphorbiaceae
Source: RNAcentral
UGGCUUAGACACCUACUAGAAGAUGACUAGCCAUAGAACAUGGAGCACCUUCUCUCUGUAUUCCCAAAAGCUAAGCAGAAAAGCCAUGCUGUAAUCAGAGAAGAUGCUUUCUUGAUUUUACCAGAACAAGGAUUGUCCUUAGUAAAUUGUUCUUCCUUCUCCACAUCAAAUAAAAAAAAUUCCUCUAUCUACUCUGGUGUAGAAAGUAGUGAUUGGUGAGAAGACAAACCAAAGAAAUGAUAUCAAAGAAGGAGCCAAACUCACAAAAUAUACCGUCUCCAACAAGUUAUCUCCCCUCAGACUUUACUAGCUGUGAGAAUACUUUACUCAUUGAAGCCCCAGAGAGACCAUCCACACUUGAUGCUCCAAAUUGAGCAGUAGAAACGCUAAUAUCAACAUUGCUGAAAUUGUUGAUUUGUGUGGAGAAAGCUCACCAAUCAUGUUAGUGCUGUUUUCUUCAGGAUCACCAGGAACAACUACCUCUUGAAGUUGAAGAGCAUACUCAAGGUUCCACAAGACAUCUCCCAUAGAAGGCCUGUCAACGCCAAAGUCAGCUAAGCAUUUCUCAGCAGUUUCACCAAAUUUCCUAAGAGAAUCAGGUCUUACUUUCCCCACAAGUGUAGGAUCUAUUAUUUGCUCCAACUGCCCUUUUUUCUGCCACUUCAUUGCCCAUUCUGCUAAGUUCACCAUUUCCCUUGGAAGGGUUGGAUCUAUAACAGGUCUUGCACAAAGAACCUCAAACAAAACCACCCCAAAUGAAUACACAUCUGAUUUCUCUGUUAGUUGUUGCCUUCUGAAAUAUUCAGGAUCAAGGUACCCAAAACUCCCCUUCACUGCUGUACUCACAUGGGUCUGAUCAAUUUCAGGUCCUGUCUUUGAAAGCCCAAAAUCAGCAACUUUGGCCAUUAGAUUCUCAUCAAGCAAGAUAUUUGCAGACUUCACGUCACGAUGAAUGACUGCUUUAGCAUAGCCAGUGUGAAGGUAAUGAAGUCCUCUAGCUGCUCCAAUACAUAUCUCAAGCCUUUCCUUCCAACUCAAGCUAGGACGACCUGAGCCAUAGAGAUGACCCUUGAGAGUCCCAUUCUCCAUGUAUUCAUAUAUUAAGAUCAUCUCAUUUUUUUCAUCACAGUACCCAAUUAAUGAAACUAGAUGGCGAUGUCGGAACUGGGAUAGCAUCUCAAUUUCAGUCUGGAACUCUGCUAGUCCCUGUUGGGAGCGCGGAUUUCCCCUUUUAACAGCCACCUUUGUACCGUCAUUCAAAGCUCCCUUGUACACCUUCCCAAAACCACCAAUACCGAUAACCCAACUCUCAUCGAAGUUGUUUGUGGCCUCUUGAACUGCCACAAAAGGAAUGCGAUAUCCCAAAUUAGAAUCAACACUAACAGUUGUUCCAUUAGAAUACUUACUGCCCACAGUGUGAGAAUGUCCCCCACUAAUAGAUAGAGGAAUCCAUGUCUUUGAAUAGCCUUGACGUGCCAGCUUUUUCCUUUUUCUGCACAACAUAAAGAUAAUUGCAGCCAACACCACAGCAAUAACUGCCCCAAAGGUCAAGCCAACUAUCACGCCAACAUUCUUCUUAGAACUUGAAUCAGAAAGCAAAGAUGCUGACCUACUGAGGCUCCCCAGGGAAUUGUUCAUUUUCAUUAUCUCCAGCCCAUUUAGAAUGGCAUUGGGUGAGACAUUAGGAAGGGAGCUUGGACCAAUACUAACAAGAAGCUUAUUGUUCACAGUUAAUG